UACUGCACACCAAAAUAAGCAAAGCACAUGUAUAAAUGUAAGAUAUGUGUAACGAAGUAAACAGUCAUUAAUUAGUAAUUAUUUAUAGUUAUUCAUAGCCAUAAAGGUUGUUAAUGAUCAGAAACAGGUUUAAUGUCAGUAAUAAGAAUCAAAAGUGUAAAAGACAAAUUUUUAUUUAUACUAUCUUAUAGUUUGACAAAAAAAGGGGGAAGUUACAGUCAUGUAAUAAUACAUGCUUAAAGCAUGAUCCUAAUAUUACCGGUUAUAAUGGACCCAAGGUUACAAUUAUCUCAAAUUAACAAAAAAUUAUAAAAAUCAUCUAGCAAUGCCCUACCCUUGUUCAUUGGGGUCUCAUUGGGUGGUUCUGAUCCCGGAUCCCGCUUAGGCGCUAACUGUUUUGUCAAAUUCCUGUAACCCGCUUACAUUAUGUACAUAAGCAAUUCUCAUUUUUUUUUCUGAAAUCCUGUGCCUCGCUUGACUUCAUCUCCUGUUUUCAUGGCACAAUAAUUUGACUUUCACCUGUCACGCUUACAAACAAUCGGAAAUCCUGCGUCACGCUUAGACCCAAAUGAGAUUCACUUCAUUGACAUAGUUGUUGAAUAUAAAACACAUUUUAGUUUACAAAUCGAAGGAAAUUUAUCAGUGAUAUAGAGAUUGUCCAACAACGAGCUGCUCGGUAUGUCUGCAAUAAAUACCAUAAUACAAGUAGUGUUAUGAACAUGCUUACUACAUUAUAUUUUCCAUUACUAACAGAAUGUAGGCUACAUACAAGAUAAGUAAUGAUGUACAAAUUAUCAUACCAUCUUGUUGCUAUUCCAUCAGUCAUACUUAUAAAAGCAGACUCAAGAACAAGAAAAAAACAUCCAUACAUAUGGGCAUAUUCAUACAUCAAAAGAUUACUACAGACAUUCAUACUUUCCAUACACAAUACCACAGUGGAACCAGCUCCCUGUGGUACUAGUUCAGGCACCAUCCAUUGAUAGCUUCAAGGAACAGCUCACUUCAGCUGUUCUCUGUUCUAUUAAUUAAAAGCAUUAAUUUAAAUUGUACAUAGUUUUAAUCACAAAUUUGAUAUUUUCAUUGCACUUUAAUUACAUUUUGUUUAAGUUGGGGUAAAGACUUGUAAAUAGUCCAAGUAUGUGAACAGUAUGUAAUCGUCGGAUGUCGAAAAUAAGAAGAAUAAAUAUGGUCUCUUCUUCUUCUUCCUAGUAUGGGAAAGACCCUGUUGUUGAAAUCAUAUGUUUACCUCCGUCAUAUGCAUGCUAUUCAAUGGUAAUUAUGAUGUUACCAUGCAUUCCUAAUUACACGAAAACCCAUGAGAAGAGGAUAUGUUUAUCGGCAGUCUCCAAUUUUCUAGUGAUCCUCCAUUUUGUAACUGCCUAUUAUUAGAUCAUGAAUAGGACUUGAUACUCUUAAAUGUUAGGUAAUCAAAAUGGUAAUGAUGUCACAUAUCAGUGCACAGUGAAAAAGAAGAAAAUUCACAAAUUUGCACUUACAUCUGACUUGAACACCGCUUUCAUAUUCAAAAAAGUUGUUUUAAAAAUAUGGAAAUUCUGCUAGAUUCAACCUUUAGUAUGACAGAUUUAUUCUUUGAAACAAAUAUCUUUUUUAAGAAUGCAUUCAUUUUAACUAACCACUCUUUCUAAAAUUAUUUUUUGUAUAUGGAUAUUAAAUCUACCCAGCAUCAAGAUGCAUUUUCUCCCUUUGAUGAUAAUACAUUUUGUAGUUGGAAUCUUGAUCUAAGCUAAUUUGUGCAAUAUUUGUUUACACAUUUUAUAUCAAUAAUAUAUCAAGUGUUUUAAUCAUCAUGAUCAUUCCUGUAUAAUCCAAAUAUGUGUCUGCGGAAUUGAGUGACCAUUAGCUGGAUUGCCUUUUUAUGCCCCGUUUAUGAUUCCCCAUUUAUGGGCAUUAUGUUUUCUUGUCAGUGCAUUCGUCUGUUUGUCUGACCCGCUUCAUGUUAAUGUUUGUCGAGGUAGUUGAAGUCCAAUCAACUUGAUACUUAGUACACAUGCUUCCUAUGAUGAUCUUUCUAAUAUUAAUGACAUUGAAAAUUAUACUGGGAUGGAUCAUUUGUGUACUAUGGACACAUUCUUGUUUUAUUUAUAUUUUUAUUGAACUAUUCUUUUGUAUUUAUUGUUUUUUUAAAUUCAUUUGCAAUUUUUUUCAGUAAAGUAAAAUGUCAGAAGAAUAUAAAGUAGGGAGCUUGUCUGAUGUCAUCAAGAAAUCAUCAAAAGCAAAGAAGAGGAAAUCAUCAGAAGGAGAAAUAGCCAAGCUAGCUUCAUUGUUUGGUGCACCAGCUAAAAGAUUUGAACCCGAGGCAAGGAUUUAUAAUCCACACUCAGUG
RNAcentral lists this long non-coding RNA (2344 nucleotides) under Mytilus galloprovincialis (Mediterranean mussel). Lineage: Eukaryota; Metazoa; Mollusca; Bivalvia; Mytilida; Mytilidae. The record is from RNAcentral.